GACGAACGCUGGCGGCGUGCUUAACACAUGCAAGUCGAACGGAAAGGCCCUGCUUUUGUGGGGUGCUCGAGUGGCGAACGGGUGAGUAACACGUGAGUAACCUGCCCUUGACUUUGGGAUAACUUCAGGAAACUGGGGCUAAUACCGGAUAGGAGCUCCUGCUGCAUGGUGGGGGUUGGAAAGUUUCGGCGGUUGGGGAUGGACUCGCGGCUUAUCAGCUUGUUGGUGGGGUAGUGGCUUACCAAGGCUUUGACGGGUAGCCGGCCUGAGAGGGUGACCGGCCACAUUGGGACUGAGAUACGGCCCAGACUCCUACGGGAGGCAGCAGUGGGGAAUAUUGCACAAUGGGCGGAAGCCUGAUGCAGCAACGCCGCGCGCGGGAUGACGGCCUUCGGGUUGUAAACCGCUUUCGCCUGUGACGAAGCGUGAGUGGCGGUAAUGGGUAAAGAAGCACCGGCUAACUACGUG
This 468-nucleotide ribosomal RNA is filed under the name uncultured bacterium. RNAcentral's name for it is "partial 16S ribosomal RNA". It matches the Rfam family "Bacterial small subunit ribosomal RNA", at positions 28 to 507 of the family's 1533-position model. The record is from RNAcentral.